AUUUUUUAUUAGAAUAAUUGAAAAGGAGGAUCCAUUCCGUCAAGACCUUAACAGUUGUCGAUGUGUGAAUGCACGUGAAUUUGGGUUCACUUCGCUUACAUGAAGAUUCAUGGGACUCUAAAGGCCCGAAACACAAAACCCCAAAAACACGAUCCGCUAAGUCUGCAACCAUUUGUACGAAGUUGUGAGCUCCCUCUCAUUUCCAUGGUUCAUUUCUUGUUCUCUCCGCUGCAUCUCUCAAACCGAUCACGGAUCGAAGCCUCUGCAAUUUCCUCGGCGAAGCUCUGUCAUACAAAGCCUUUUGUGCCGACUACUUUGGUUUUCCAAUGGGUUCUUCACCACUUCACCUUAAAGAGGAUGAUGCUAAAGUAGAAUCUUCUCAAAAAGCAGUUUUGAGAACAGUGGAGGAGGAGGAGAAGAAGAAUUAUUCAUGAAAACAGGCAGUGCCCGUCGGAAGUUCAGAUAAGCAGCAACAAUGGCUGUCGAAGUUCUCUCCGAACGUAGCCAUUAAUACUUUCCAAGAAAUGAGGUCUUUAUCGGGCGUCCUAUCCAAGAAUUGACGGGCAAGAUCGAAUCUGCCUUCGAUGAGGUAGUCAGAAAUCCUGGCGUUCCAAGAGACGGACGUUCAGCGGGCCAUGAUCUGGAAGAUAUAGAGAGCCAAGUCGCAACGGGCGUUGCGCGUGUGCUUCCUGAUGAACAUGUUCCCUCUCACAACCUCUGCAUCAGAAAUGGGAGAUGUAUUCUUCCUGUUGAUAAGUAUAGAUCGACUUGGCUUUCUGUUCAAUCUGGUUUAGUGAUAGCCGACUCGUUUACUUUGUAGGAAGCGUAUUGAGGAGCUGUUGUAAAAGUAUCUGCUUCUGCAACAAUUGGCGUGGAAGAAGCCAUGCAUUAUGAUCUCGUCUCCUCCUACCUUGCAUGAAAACAGGAGCUACACCCCAUCUCUCUCAUUCCUCCUUCCUUCAAUCCUCUGGAAAGUGAUGCGAGGAUACUCCUAUAUACAACAUAAGUAGGUGCUUUAUCAAAUGUCCAGGUUCGGCAUUUCAGAUGCCAUUGAUCAGAGAAUAACCAAGUGUGGCUGCUUGGAGGCUGUCGUCAAGUGUUCGAUCAAAUGCUCCAAGGAAACCUCAUCCUUCGACGUUUAUGUUUUCGUUGCAAAUGAAUUAUGUGAACAAACAUUCGAAAUUUUUUUAGUAAAAUUUAAUUUACAUGUAAAUAUUUACUUGUAAAA
Macadamia integrifolia is the source of this 1228-nucleotide long non-coding RNA. RefSeq lists it as uncharacterized. Lineage: Eukaryota; Viridiplantae; Streptophyta; Magnoliopsida; Proteales; Proteaceae. The record is from RefSeq and is a predicted model, not a curated record. The transcript is spliced from 2 exons.